UACGAAGGUGGCCAGCGUUGUUCGGAUUUACUGGGCGUACAGGGAGAGUAGGCGGUUGGGUAAGCCCUCCGUGAAAUCUCCGGGCCCAACCCGGAAAGUGCGGAGGGGACUGCCCGGCUAGAGGAUGGGAGAGGAGCGCGGAAUUCCCGGUGUAGCGGUGAAAUGCGUAGAGAUCGAGAGGAAGGCCGGUGGCGAAGGCGGCGCUCUGGAACAUUUCUGACGCUGAGGGUCGAAAGCGUGGGGAGCAAACAGG
Molecule: ribosomal RNA, 253 nt
Filed under: uncultured bacterium
Lineage: Bacteria
Description: partial 16S ribosomal RNA
Rfam family: Bacterial small subunit ribosomal RNA
Source: RNAcentral